ACGCACGCUGGCGGCGUGCUUAACACAUGCAAGUCGAACGGAAAGGCCCUGCUUUUGCGGGGUGCUCGAGUGGCGAACGGGUGAGUAACACGUGAGUAACCUGCCCUUGACUUUGGGAUAACUUCAGGAAACUGGGGCUAAUACCGGAUAGGAGCUCCUGCUGCCUGGUGGGGGUUGGAAAGUUUCGGCGGUUGGGGAUGGACUCGCGGCUUAUCAGCUUGUUGGUGGGGUGGUGGCGUACCAAGGCUUUGACGGGUAGCCGGCCUGAGAGGGUGACCGGCCACAUUGGGACUGAGAUACGGCCCAGACUCCUACGGGAGGCAGCAGUGGGGAAUAUUGCACAAUGGGCGGAAGCCUGAUGCAGCAACGCCGCGUGCGGGAUGACGGCCUUCGGGUUGUAAACCGCUUUCGCCUGUGACGAAGCGUGAGUGACGGUAAUGGGUAAAGAAGCACCGGCUAACUACGUG
This 467-nucleotide ribosomal RNA is filed under the name uncultured bacterium. RNAcentral describes it as "partial 16S ribosomal RNA". It matches the Rfam family "Bacterial small subunit ribosomal RNA", at positions 29 to 507 of the family's 1533-position model. The record is from RNAcentral.